This 274-nucleotide ribosomal RNA is filed under the name uncultured bacterium. RNAcentral describes it as "partial 16S ribosomal RNA". It matches the Rfam family "Bacterial small subunit ribosomal RNA", at positions 523 to 796 of the family's 1533-position model. The record is from RNAcentral.
AUACGGAGGGUGCAAGCGUUGUUCGGAAUCACUGGGCGUAAAGGGCGCGCAGGCGGUUUGGUAAGUCAGAUGUGAAAGCCCACGGCUCAACCGUGGAAGUGCAUUUGAAACUGUCAGACUUGAGUACUAGAGGGGAAAGUGGAAUUCCCGGUGUAGAGGUGAAAUUCGUAGAUAUCGGGAGGUAUACCGGUGGCGAAGGCGACUUUCUGGCUAGAUACUGACGCUGAGGCGCGAAAGCGUGGGGAGCAAACAGGAUUAGAAACCCUAGUAGUCC